AUUAUCAAGAGUGGAUGAGAGAACGGCUCUGUGACUCCACAGCAACCUAUUAAAUUAGGUGCUAAUACCGUCAAAACAUGUAUUGUUUUGAAUGAUGA
Molecule: non-coding RNA, 98 nt
Filed under: bovine gut metagenome
Description: SAM riboswitch (S box leader)
Rfam family: SAM riboswitch aptamer (S box leader)
About the family: The SAM riboswitch is found upstream of a number of genes which code for proteins involved in methionine or cysteine biosynthesis in Gram-positive bacteria. The SAM riboswitch acts at the level of transcription termination control.
Source: RNAcentral